RNAcentral lists this ribosomal RNA (541 nucleotides) under uncultured Glomeromycotina. RNAcentral describes it as "SSU rRNA". It matches the Rfam family "Eukaryotic small subunit ribosomal RNA", at positions 569 to 1108 of the family's 1831-position model. The record is from RNAcentral. Lineage: Eukaryota; Fungi; Glomeromycota.
AGCAGCCGCGGUAAUUCCAGCUCCAAUAGCGUAUAUUAAAGUUGUUGCAGUUAAAAAGCUCGUAGUUGAAUUUCGGGACCAUCAUGUCGGUCGUGCCUCGGUACGUACUGGCAUUCGUUCGGUUUCUCCCUUCUGACGAACCAUGAUGUCAUUUAUUUGGUGUUGUGGGAAAUCAGGACUGUUACUUUGAAAAAAGUUAGAGUGUUUAAAGCAGGCUCACGCUUGAAUACAUUAGCACGGAAUAAUAGAAUAGGACGUGUGGUUCUAUUUUGUUGGUUUCUAGGACCGCCGUAAUGAUUAAUAGGGAUAGUCGGGGGCAUCAGUAUUCCAUUGUCAGAGGUGAAAUUCUUGGAUUUAUGGAAGACUAACUACUGCGAAAGCAUUUGCCAAGGAUGUUUUCAUUAAUCAAGAACGAGAGUUAGGGGAUCGAAGACGAUCAGAUACCGUCGUAGUCUUAACCAUAAACUAUGCCGACUAGGGAUCGGAUGAUGUUAAUUUUUUCAAUGACUCAUUCGGCGCCUUACGGGAAACCAAAGUGUUU